AAAUUGGUAAUUUAUAUACCAUGUUUAUCAAAUGUUAUUAAUUAAAUUCAUUUUCCCUUUCUAAUUCUUUAAAUUGUCAAUGCUUACCGCCUAGACUACGCUCAUAGGGAAAUACCCCAAAAUGGUACCCCAAGGGGGAAAUUCCAAACACUUUUUUUUAAUAAUAUUUGUUUCAUAUUUUUUAUUAUUUUUUCAUUUUUUU
This 202-nucleotide long non-coding RNA is filed under the name Mytilus galloprovincialis (Mediterranean mussel). Lineage: Eukaryota; Metazoa; Mollusca; Bivalvia; Mytilida; Mytilidae. The record is from RNAcentral.